UUAUCAAUAAUAAUACAGAUUUUAAAAAGAUCGUACCAAACCACUAUCCAGCCGAAAGUGGAGGUUUUUCAUUGAAAUGUACCUGUGGAACAACGGCAAAUACUGGCAUGACAUUAACGGGUCAUAAUCUGAAUACAACAAUCAAUAAAUUAUUGAGCAAAAUUAUUCACUAAGUUGCUCGUCCGCCAAAAAAAACCAGAGUCUAAACUCAAAAUCCAAAAACCUGUUUACCUGGUAGCCACUACUGUAAUCAGAUUUUUGAGUCACUUCAGGCUUACUACUUAUUUGGAUUUAAAAGGACAACUAAAAUGAUACAAAAGCAAAAUUUUGCAUGAGACACGCAAAGAGCAAAUUUCAUUGUGUGUUGCUGUCAUUAUUUUUCUCCAAUUACUCAACAAUACGACGAGCUUAAAGGCGUGAUUGAAAUUUCCGCUUAAAGAUGGCACAAAAGCACGGUUGGUGGGUCACACAUGGUCAUGGAUUAGAAUGGGCAAAGCCAGAGUCAGCAAUUUGUCAAUUUUGUUACAUGGAGGGGAGAGAGUAAAAGGGAUGCAGGACAGGCAAAGCUGUGGAUUGCAGAGCUAGCUCAUUAAUGUCAUCAACUUUUCGAACUGGAAAUCAAACUUUCGGUUUUUUGGGUUUUGUAAUUAUAAACACCAAAAAGCUGUUGCCAUCAAAUGUCGUCGAGCGACCAUCCGACCGACGAGGACGAACCAACCGAGAGAUGCUGCUGAUGCCGCUGAUACUGAUGAUAAUCAUGAUGAUGAUGAUGAUGAUAAUAAUGAUGAUUUUCCUCUGCUUUUGCUUCACGCUGCUUAGCAAGUUGAUUAAUGAAUGUGGCAGCGACAUUGAUUCCUCCCAACAUUCUCCAACCUCUCUAUCUUUUACUCCUGCUGCGGUUUUAUCGAACAUAAAAAGAGAAAAACACCACAAAAAGCAACCCAAAGACAAUGACCAAGUUGGUAUGAUAUCUGAUCUGUUGGUCUUCUGCAAUUGAAUGCCUUCUGUGCUCUGCACUCUGUGUGUCUGGACAAUUAUUUUCAACACUUGUUUGCACUUGGCUGGCUGGCUGGUUGGUUGGUUGGUUGGUUGGCUGGCUGGCUGCCUAGCUGUCUGGCAACGCAAUCCAAGACCACAUUUUCUGCAAAAUAAAUCUCUGCAGGAGUAAGAACUUGUGAUAGAGCAAGGGCCAGGGCAAAGCACGUGGCAUGUAACAUGGAUCACGUGGCGUUCUUUAAUGUGUUUUGUAAUUCACAAAAGAUUGUUCCUUUUCGAUUCUUUGGUCUAUUAUGAACUUUGGUUGCUCAUGCACCUCUAUGACCUGGCGGUAAGUAAACUUCUCUCGAGCUUACUGCGGUGUCCAAUCAGUCGAUUAUUUUAUCUCCUGGCGAGCCUUUCAUCUGCUCCUCAAUAGUGUGCAGGUUAAGGUUCCGAUAAAGGGUGGACAGUUAGUAAUUUUUCGCAUGACCCGAUUCUGCGAUUCAUCCUUUGUGAGUUCAAAUAGGUCGUUUGAACCUCCAUUUUACAAUAUUGGCAACUAUUGUGGACUUAACGGAUUACCAGUGUGAAUAUUAUCGUCCAAAUGAUUGUUAUUGUCAUAAGCAUUAUCAGCCAUCGUUGAGGUUUGAUCAUCCUUAUAAUUUUUUUUGCGUUAGUUGACUUUUGUUCAUACAGUGAACGGUUGCCCUAUAGCUGGAUUGAAAAAUUUAACAAUGUUUUUAAAAACUUGUAACUUUGCGAAUCUGUAACUAUAAAUUAUGCAAUAUGUAGUUACAAUUA
Long non-coding RNA from Drosophila willistoni, 1779 nucleotides. RefSeq lists it as uncharacterized. The record is from RefSeq and is a predicted model, not a curated record. The transcript is spliced from 3 exons. NCBI's taxonomy places the organism in Eukaryota, Metazoa, Arthropoda, Insecta, Diptera, Drosophilidae.